GGAUCGGUGGCCGAGUGGUCGAAGGCGCACGCCUGGAAAGUGUGUAGGGGUUAACGCCCCUCGAGGGUUCGAAUCCCUCUCGAUCCU
Molecule: transfer RNA, 87 nt
Filed under: Sandarakinorhabdus sp.
Lineage: Bacteria; Pseudomonadati; Pseudomonadota; Alphaproteobacteria; Sphingomonadales; Sphingosinicellaceae
Description: tRNA-Ser
Rfam family: tRNA
About the family: Transfer RNA (tRNA) molecules are approximately 80 nucleotides in length. Their secondary structure includes four short double-helical elements and three loops (D, anti-codon, and T loops).
Source: RNAcentral